Molecule: ribosomal RNA, 3375 nt
Filed under: Sphaeromyxa hellandi
Lineage: Eukaryota; Metazoa; Cnidaria; Myxozoa; Bivalvulida; Sphaeromyxidae
Description: eukaryotic LSU rRNA
Rfam family: Eukaryotic large subunit ribosomal RNA
Source: RNAcentral
GAAAAUAAAAUAACAAUGAUUCUUUCAGUAACUGCGAGUGAAGCGAGAAAAGCCCAACGUUAAAAGCCGCGUUUGUAAAAGGAACGUCGCAUUGUAACGUAUAGAUGUGUUCUCAAGGUGAAAGCGUUUGUCAAAGUUACAUAGAGUGGUACGCCAUAGAGGGUGCUAGCCCCGUUGAUGACAAGCGCAUUAAUUUUGCCAAGUAAACACCAUUUAAGAGUCGUGUUGUUUGGGGAUUGCAACACUAAGUAGGUGGUAAACUUCACCUAAGGCUAAAUACAUACACGAGACCGAUAGCAGACAAGUACCGUGAGGGAAAGUUGAAAAGAACUCUGAAAAGAAAGUGAAAAGCACGUGAAACUGUUCAUAGGGAAGCAGACAGUAGAAUCGAAACGUGUUGUUGAUUGCUCAGUUGAGUAAUUGGCUGAGUGUCAGUGACAUUUGCGCUGAGCUUGUUGUGAGUUGUACGCAAGUACGUUAAAUGCACGCCAGUGGCAUUAGUUUGGUAAUAGGCGAGUUGAAUUAUUGAUGAACCAGUCGCUGGAUUGUGUCAACUGCUAUAGGUGCAUGGCAUGACACGGGCUAAUAUGAUAAGCAGUUGAUUUAAGCGAAAGAUUUAUGAGUGGACUUGUAAACUGUCAAGUUUAUAGGAACAUGAGUUGUUUGAGCCAAAUCGAUUUACUCUCAGCGAGAUAUGCUGCUGUCUGACCCGUCUUGAAACACGGACCAAGGAGGCUAACGUAUACGCGAGUCAAAGGGAAACAUGUAUGUGUUGUUUAUUUUAAACCCUAUGGCGUAACGAAAGUAAAAAACGAGAUCUUCAACUGCGUAGGAGAAGAGCAUUGUUGGCCAUUUGAGUUUAUUGAAACUAUGAAUGAGCAGGAGCGUAUGCGAUAGGACCCGAAAGAUGGUGAACUAUGCCUGAGUAGAAUGAAGCCAGAGGAAACUCUGGUGGAGGUUCGCAGCGGUUCUGACGUGCAAUUCCGAUCGUCAAACUUGGGUAUAGGGGCGAAAGACUAAUCGAACCAUCUAGUAGCUGGUUCCCUCCGAAAUAUCCCUCAGGAUAGCUGGAGCCUGAGCCAAAAGCAGUUUCAUUGGGUAGAGCUAAUGAUUAGAGGAAUUAGGGUCAUAACAGAUCUUAACCUAUUCUCAAACUGCGAACCGGUGAGAAAAACAUUGUUGCUUAUAUGCAGUGAUUUCGGUUGUUGUGUUGAACCGGUGUUUGUGAAUGCUAGGGCUCCAAGUGGGCCGUUUCUGGUAAGCAGAACUGGCGAUGCGGGAUGAACCGAGAGCUAAGUUAAGGUGCCUAAAUAAACGCCAAUGGACACCACUAAAGGAGUUGGUCGAUGAAGACAGCAGGACGGUGGCCCUGAAAGUAGGAAUCCGCUAAGGAGUGUCUAACAACUCACCUGCCGAAUCGACUGGCCCUGAAGAUGGAUGGCGCUAAAGCGUUUUACCGAUACUUGGCCAUCAACAUUAGUGUGUGAUAAAUGUUGAUGGGUAGGAGGGCGCAAAGAUAGCGGCGAAGAGUAUAGCGUAAGCUUGCUUGGAGCUGUCUUUGGUGCGGAUCUUGGUGGUAGUAGCAGUUUAUUCAAGUGAGACGCUUGAAGGCCGAAGUGGAGAAGGGUUCCGCGUAAACAUCAUUUGGACGCGGGUUAGUCGGUCCUAAGUGGCAGCUUACGUGCUGAUAUAUAAAGGGGAACAUCGGUAUGCUUAUGUUUGAUCCGUAAAAAGGUCUUGCAUUGUGUAUUUGACUCCCAGGCCACGAAAGGGAAUCAGGUUAAUAUUCCUGAACCAAGGUACGGAUAGUUUGUGCAAUGAUUUAAGUGUUUGCGUAGGGAGAUGCAGCGGUAACGCAAACGAUCUCAGAGACAUUUUCGGAAGAGUUAUCUUCUCUGUUUAACGAAACGAAGCCCUGGAAUUGAGUUCAUUCAGAGAUAGGGUUGAGAUUUCGGAAGAGCAUCGCACUUUUUGUGAUGUCUGGUGCGCUGUCUAAGAUCCUUGAAAAUCUGAGGGAGUGAAUGAUUAUCGUACUGGCCGUACCGUAAUCCGCAACAGGUCCCUAAGGUGAAUAGCCUCUGGCACUAGAACAAUGUGGGUAAGGGAAGUCGGCAAAAUAGAUUCGUAACUUCGGGAUAAGGAUUGGCCCUAUGGAUUGGGCUAAUCGGGCUAGUUUAUGUAGCUAAUGUGCGCUUGUGGUUGAGCUUGAAUCUGUUGCAGCAAUGUGGAUAGUGUUUAGGUUUGAUAACGUGUGUGCUUAGUUAUGUGCCUAGCUUGGUAAUGAGUGAUGUGUUAUUAACUUAAUGUGUUGCUUGUUAUCGUUACGGUUGGCUAAGAUCAAUCAACAUAGAACUGUCACUGACUAGGGGAAUCCGACUGUUUAAUUAAAACAAAGCAUUGCGAUGGCUGUAAAUAGUGUUGACGCAAUGUGAUUUCUGCCCAGUGCUCUGAAUGUCAAAGUGUGGAGACACAACCAAGCGCGGGUAAACGGCGGGUGUAACUAUGACUCUCUCAAGAUAGCCAAAUGCCUCGUCAUCUAAUUAGUGACGCGCAUGAAUGGAUCAACGAGAUUCCCACUGUCCCUACCUUCCAUCUAGCGAACCCACAGUCAAGGGAACGGGCUUGACUGAGACAGCGGGGAAAGAAGACCCUGUUGAGCUUGACUCUAGUUUGAUAUGGUUAGGAGACAUGAGAGGUGUAGCGUAGGUGGGAGACAUGUCCUCGGAUGUGUCGAUCUUGAAACACCACCACUUUCAUCGUCUCCUCACUUAAUCGGUGAUAAGGGAAGUGCCCAGUGAAACUGUUUGCUGUGGCAACGGCAUGAUGAAAGUUAUGCUUGUACCACAAUAAGUAUUCUAGGGUAGCUGGUGUCACGUAUACUAAGAAUUGUAAGACGAUUGGUGCUGCAGAGUGUUGCCACGUAUACGUGAUUGUAGUAUUUUGCAGUACUUUAACUAAUUGUUGACCCCAACUAUGCCUUCGGGUGUGUGUGUGACCGAUGACAGUGUCAGAUGGGGAGUUUGGCUGGGGCGGUACACCCUCUAAAAUGCAACGAGGGUGUCCAAAGGUGAGCUCACGGUGGACAGAAACCACCGGUAGAGUAUAAGGGCAAAAGCUCGCUUGAUUUUGAUUUUCAGUAUGAAUACAAACCACGAAAGUGUGGCCUAGCGAUCCUUUAUAAUGACCUGAAAGUUUCAGGAUAGAGGUGUCAGAAAAGUUACCACAGGGAUAACUGGCUUGUGGCUGCCAAGCGAACAUAGCGACGUAGCUUUUUUGAUCCUUCGAUGUCGGCUCUUCCCUAUCAUUUGCGCAGCAGCAUACGCAAAGUGUUGGAUUGUUCACCCCCCUAACAGGGAACGUGAGCUGGGUUUAGAC